Long non-coding RNA from Molossus molossus (Pallas's mastiff bat), 328 nucleotides. RefSeq lists it as uncharacterized. The transcript is spliced from 3 exons. Lineage: Eukaryota; Metazoa; Chordata; Mammalia; Chiroptera; Molossidae. The record is from RefSeq and is a predicted model, not a curated record.
UCUGCACGGCAGUGGCAUUUUGGUGGCUAACCAUCCUGCUGGCCUGGCACUUCCGCAUCUGAAGUGCUGGGGAGCUUGUAGCCAGACACACUGAAUGCACGUCAUGCAACACGGUCCAGACUACAGGUGACAGUCAAGAGGUAUUGUCUUGAAGAACUCCAUUGGUAAUUUAUUGUUCAAACUGGAUAUUCUGGGCGUGAAAGGCGGCAUUAUUAAGUAUGCCUGGACAACAGGCACAACCAGGACUAUGCCAGGCAAACCAGGCAGAAAGCACAGUAUGACGAGGCGGACCGCAGCCAGAGCGUGAAGGAGAGGGAAAGAGCGCACA